UACGUAGGGGGCAAGCGUUGUCCGGAUUUAUUGGGCGUAAAGAGCGUGUAGGCGGCCAAGCAGGUCCGCUGUGAAAACUCGAGGCUCAACCUCGAGAGGUCGGUGGAAACCGUUUGGCUAGAGUCCGGAAGAGGAGAGUGGAAUUCCCGGUGUAGCGGUGAAAUGCGCAGAUAUCGGGGAGAACACCCGUGGCGAAGGCGGCUCUCUGGGACGGUACUGACGCUGAGACGCGAAAGCGUGGGGAGCGAACAGG
This 253-nucleotide ribosomal RNA is filed under the name uncultured bacterium. RNAcentral's name for it is "partial 16S ribosomal RNA". It matches the Rfam family "Bacterial small subunit ribosomal RNA", at positions 524 to 776 of the family's 1533-position model. The record is from RNAcentral.